CGGGGCAUAGCGCAGUCUGGUAGCGCAUCUGCUUUGGGAGCAGAGGGUCGGGAGUUCGAAUCUCUCUGCCCCGACCA
RNAcentral lists this transfer RNA (77 nucleotides) under Gammaproteobacteria bacterium. Its description in RNAcentral is "tRNA-Pro". It matches the Rfam family "tRNA". From Rfam's summary of the family: Transfer RNA (tRNA) molecules are approximately 80 nucleotides in length. Lineage: Bacteria; Pseudomonadati; Pseudomonadota; Gammaproteobacteria. RNAcentral also lists the same sequence under 4 other names. The record is from RNAcentral.